Molecule: ribosomal RNA, 1435 nt
Filed under: uncultured organism
Description: bacterial SSU rRNA
Rfam family: Bacterial small subunit ribosomal RNA
Source: RNAcentral
GGCGUGCCUAACACAUGCAAGUCGAGCGAGAAAGCUCCUUCGGGAGUGAGUACAGCGGCGGACGGGUGAGUAAAACGUGAGAAUCUGCCCUUUAGUGAAGAAUACCUUCGAGAAAUCGGAGUUAAUGCUGCAUACGUCCCUUCGGGGAGAAAGAUGGCCUCUUGCUGUCGCUAAAGGAUGAGCUCGCGCACUAUUAGCUUGUUGGUGGGGUAAAGGCCUACCAAAGCGAUGAUGGUUAGCCGGCCUGAGAGGGUGAUCGGCCACACUGGAACUUAGACACGGUCCAGACUCCUACGGGAGGCAGCAGUGGGGAAUAUUGCGCAAUGGGCGAAAGCCUGACGCAGCAACGCCGCGUGGAGGAUGACGGUUUUCGGAUUGUAAACUUCUGUUAAGUGGGAAGAAAGACUUGCCUAUAAUACAGGCGAGGGAUGACGGUACCAUUAGAGAAAGCACCGGCUAACUUCGUGCCAGCAGCCGCGGUAAUACGAGGGGUGCAAGCGUUAUUCGGAAUCAUUGGGCGUAAAGGGUGCGUAGACGGCACAUUAAGUCAACUGUUAAAUUCCUCGGCCUAACCGAGGGACAGCGGUAGAUACUGGUGAGCUAGAGGAUGGAAGAGAGAAGUGGAAUUCUCGGAGUAGCGGUAAAAUGCGUAGAUCUCGAGAGGAACACCAAUGGCGAAGGCAGCUUCUUGGUCCAUUCCUGACGUUGAGGCACGAAAGCGUGGGUAGCAAACAGGAUUAGAUACCCUGGUAGUCCACGCCGUAAACGAUGAUCACUAGAUGUCAGUUUUGUUUAACAAAAGUGGUAUCGCAGCUAACGCGAUAAGUGAUCCGCCUGGGGACUACGGUCGCAAGAUUAAAACUCAAAGGAAUUGACGGGGGCCCGCACAAGCGGUGGAACAUGUGGUUUAAUUCGACACUACGCGAGGAACCUUACCUAGGUUUGACAUGUAUUUGACAGCUCUGGAAACAGGGUCUUUUGGAUUUCGGUUCAAACAGAUACACAGGUGCUGCAUGGCUGUCGUCAGCUCGUGUCGUGAGAUGUUGGGUUAAGUCCUUUAACGAGCGCAACUCCUAUCGUCAGUUGCCACUGCGCAAGCAAGCACUCUGGCGAGACUGCCUGGGAAACCAGGAGGAAGGUGGGAAUGAUGUCAAGUCAUCAUGGUCCUUAUACCUAGGGCAACACAUGUGUUACAAUGGCUAGUACAAAGAGCAGCAAACUUGCGAAAGUAAGCUAAUCUCAUAAAACUAGUCUAAGUUCGGAUUGAGGUCUGCAACUCGACCUCAUGAAGUUGAAAUCGCUAGUAAUCGCGUAUCAGAACGACGCGGUGAUACGUUCUCGGGUCUUGUACACACCGCCCGUCACACCACGAAGCUGUCUGUACCCGAAGUUGUCUUAGCUAACCUGUAAGGAGGCGGAUACUAAGGUAUGGGGA